Long non-coding RNA from Monodelphis domestica (gray short-tailed opossum), 2690 nucleotides. Lineage: Eukaryota; Metazoa; Chordata; Mammalia; Didelphimorphia; Didelphidae. The record is from Ensembl.
CCUACGCCACCACCCACCCCCAAGAAAAGCACCCUUUUAUCCCAACCCCCCCCCCUCCCCAACAAAGAAUGAUUGAUGGCAAUAAAUUAUCAGGCAGCAGCAGCAGCAGCAGCAGCCAGUGUAGGCAGCAGGUCUUCCUAGCUCUCAGGAGCCCUGGGUUCGCCUUGGAGUCUUUUUUUUUUUUCUGGCGGUGGGUAGUCCCGGAUUUCAGUGACUUGUCUGCCUCAGGGGACAGAGGGGCGACCUCCUGGUCAGUUUAAGGGCUGCGGAGGGGUCCGCCCACCUGACUGAUAGAGAAGACUAGUAGGAUGUUCACCUCAACAGAAAUCCCAGAGAAGACGCAAGUCGAGUGCGGAUCACCCCCCGCAGGUCCUCACGCCUCAGACCCAAGCAGCAGCAGAGGAGGCGGCAGCAGUAGCAGAAGGAGCAGCAAUACAGAGGUACAAUUUUGUGUAUUUCAUUGGUGCCUCAAUGCCCUUCUCCCUAGUUUUUUUCAGCGGAUAAACCUGAGCUCAGGAAGGAGCAUCCCUAGCCCACACAACACCAGCAAAUAAGAUUCAGCAGUGCCAGGGAGUCACAUAGGCGGUUUCUCCUCUUUCAGGAGCAGCAGCAGCUUGUUAGGGGGAUUCCCCUUCCCCGGGUGGUCUGCCUUCCUCUUUCUCCUUUCCCUGUCAUUACUACUGUUGCUUAGAUUCUGGGUGCACAGCUCCCGGGUCAGUGCUGUGGUCCGAGGAGACUGAUGUCAGGGGCAACGUCCCUUGAGUUUUCCCGACAUUGCUGGGCAUGGUCAUCCAUGUUAAUCAGAGCUGAAGGAAGACUGAAGGAGAUGGGAGCAGAGGAAGGGGUGGCUUGGGAGAGAAGAGACCGACAGUGAUAGAGAUAGAGAAGACAAAAAGAAAUAGUGAGAAAGAAACUGAGAGACAGAGACAUGCAGAGAUUACAAGGGGCUAGAGGAUUGAGCAUAUGCAUGAGAAUGAAGGUGGUGGAAAAGGUGAUGAGAGAAGAAGGUAUCAGAAAAAAGGAAAAAAUAAUGUAUUGGUACUUCUACGCUACCGAAUACUUCUGAUUUAACUUGGGUAACUCUUCCAAAAAGGAAGAGGUAGGAAGUGGGAGGGAAAUUUUUUCAUUCUUUCUUCUAUCUUUACUCUCAUUCGGGAUGACACAUUCCACUCUUCCCCUUAUUAUCUGUGGCAAACUGAGAAAAGCAACCCUUUGACACUGAGAAGCCCACCCAUCCCAGAGAAAUAUGCUCCAUCUAUCCCAUUUCCCCAUUCAGCUAUGAUUUCCACCGUGCCUUUCUCUCUCUCUCUCUCUCUCUCUCUCUCUCUCUCUCUCUCUCUCUCUCUCUCUCUCUCUCUCUCUCUCUCUCUCUCUCUCAUACACACACUACCCUUCUCUCCAUUUCGGGAACAACUACCUAAAAAUGUUUGGGUCCCACAGCUUCCAGUCUUCAAGUCUUUCUAGAAUUAGCUCUGCCUUUCCUUUACUUCCCUUUUCUCCAGAGAAACACUUACAGGGUGUCCCAAGAGUCUUAGUGCAGUUUUAAGCUAUAAUAACAAAGAUUUUGAGGCAUUCUAUAUAGAAGGGACAAUGAGUCAUCCCCAAAUCCUUUUAUUACUGGGACCUCAUCUUGGAAUUCUGUGGGAACCACCCCCCACACACUAUUACUUCACAAAAUUUCUUUGCAGAUUUAGAGAUCAUUUGUCAUUUAUGCCCCCUGGAAAAGGAGGAAAGGGAGGGAGGGGGAGGAGAGGAGGAGGAGAGAAGACAGACAGAUAGACAGACAGAGAGAGAGAGAGAUAGAGAGAGAGAGAGAGAGAGAGAGAGAGAGAGAGAGAGAGAGAGAGAGAGAGAGAGAGAGAGAUCAAGCAAGCAAAACUGUUCUGUUCUUGGUCUGUUUUCUAAGCUGCUUUAGGAAACCACCCACCUUCAAGCAGCUGAGGAGCUAAAAAGAGAUUGGAGAUCCCCUGCAUUACACAGAAGCAGACUGAAAGGGCAAAAUGGAAAAGAAGGGGAAAAACAUAAAAGGAGCUUUUAUGCUGUAUUAUGGUGUGUGUGCAUAUAUGUAUUUGUAGGUAUAUACAUGUAUAUAUCUGCAUGUGUACAUGAGAGAUUGUAAGAGCUCUUUUUUGGGUAAAUGGUUGAGGGCUUUUGUAUGGAUAAGAGAAAAAAAAACCAUAAAAGCAAAUGACCAGUAUUGUCCAGCAAAAAUUUGAGUCACUCAGAAGCUAAAGUCUUUGGACUUUUAAAUCUGUGUCUCCUCUCAUCCUCACAGUUAAAUUUCUGGUUCUUUUAAGUCCAACUUGUGAAAUUGUGUUCUUAGAUAGACUCUUAAUACACAGAAGAGCAAUGUUCAGCCAAAAUCCAAUAUUAACAAAGACUUUUCUUUAAGGAAAGGCCCUUCACUUAUAAAGAGUAUUUACUUAUCUUAUACUUCUUUCACUAUCCUUACUCCAGUCAAAAUGAUCUAGAACAUGCAGUCCUCAAGUAGCUCUGCUAAGGCAAUGGCUUCCAACCUUUAUGGAGCAAAUCUCCCUUUUUGCAAAAAAAGUCUAUAUUUUAUAUUUUAUAUGUAUAUACUAUACUCUUAUUUUAAUCAAUUUCUACCAAUAAUUUUCUUGGCCUAUAUUUUACAGAGAUAGAAUUUAUUAUAAUUUUAAUAAAAUAAUAUUAUAGAUUAAAUUUGAACA